CAAACGACUCUCGGCAACGGAUAUCUCGGCUCUCGCAUCGAUGAAGAACGCAGCGAAAUGCGAUACUUGGUGUGAAUUGCAGAAUCCCGUGAACCAUCGAGUUUUUGAACGCAAGUUGCGCCCGAAGCUUCGGCUAAGGGCACGCCUGCCUGGGUGUCACACAU
Molecule: ribosomal RNA, 164 nt
Filed under: Combretum adenogonium
Lineage: Eukaryota; Viridiplantae; Streptophyta; Magnoliopsida; Myrtales; Combretaceae
Description: 5.8S ribosomal RNA
Rfam family: 5.8S ribosomal RNA
About the family: 5.8S ribosomal RNA (5.8S rRNA) is a component of the large subunit of the eukaryotic ribosome. It is transcribed by RNA polymerase I as part of the 45S precursor that also contains 18S and 28S rRNA.
Source: RNAcentral